This is a long non-coding RNA of Armigeres subalbatus, 265 nucleotides long. RefSeq lists it as uncharacterized. The transcript is spliced from 3 exons. Lineage: Eukaryota; Metazoa; Arthropoda; Insecta; Diptera; Culicidae. The record is from RefSeq and is a predicted model, not a curated record.
UAGGAUACAAAAUUGAGUUCAUCGAGAAAAUUUAAGAAAAAUGGCGAAGUCUGGACGCUGCAAGGGUGAAAAACUUAAGUGGAAAAAAUAAAUUUACUACACAUAAAUAAUACACAGCUUUGUUUAAAUAGUUCUGGACUAAAAGUGAAGAAAGUCUUGUGAGAGUAACUUCGAUGCUUUCCGGAUAGCGUCUUCAGGAAUAUGGACAACUUCACGGAAUAUGGAGGACGCUGCCCAAGACCUGAGCAAGACCGGUGAAGAUUUG